UGGUAAUGCCGGAUGCUCCAGUUGAUCGCAUGGUCUUCUGGGAAAGCUUUCGCGGUAUGGGAUGGGGUCGCGUCCUAUCAGCUUGACGGCGGGGUAACGGCCCACCGUGGCUUCGACGGGUAGCCGGCCUGAGAGGGCGACCGGCCACAUUGGGACUGAGAUACGGCCCAGACUCCUACGGGAGGCAGCAGUGGGGAAUAUUGCACAAUGGGCGCAAGCCUGAUGCAGCGACGCCGCGUGAGGGAUGGAGGCCUUCGGGUUGUAAACCUCUUUUAUCGGGGAGCAAGCGUGAGUGAGUUUACCCGUUGAAUAAGCACCGGCUAACUACGUGCCAGCAGCCGCGGUAAUACGUAGGGUGCAAGCGUUAUCCGGAAUUAUUGGGCGUAAAGGGCUCGUAGGCGGUUCGUCGCGUCCGGUGUGAAAGUCCAUCGCUUAACGGUGGAUCCGCGCCGGGUACGGGCGGGCUUGAGUGCGGUAGGGGAGACUGGAAUUCCCGGUGUAACGGUGGAAUGUGUAGAUAUC
Molecule: ribosomal RNA, 522 nt
Filed under: Bifidobacterium longum subsp. infantis
Lineage: Bacteria; Bacillati; Actinomycetota; Actinomycetes; Bifidobacteriales; Bifidobacteriaceae
Also listed under: 1 other name
Description: bacterial SSU rRNA
Rfam family: Bacterial small subunit ribosomal RNA
Source: RNAcentral